RNAcentral lists this ribosomal RNA (444 nucleotides) under uncultured bacterium. Its description in RNAcentral is "bacterial SSU rRNA". It matches the Rfam family "Bacterial small subunit ribosomal RNA", at positions 354 to 796 of the family's 1533-position model. The record is from RNAcentral.
GUAGGGAAUAUUGGGCAAUGGACGAGAGUCUGACCCAGCCAUGCCGCGUGCAGGAAGAAGGCGUUCUGCGUUGUAAACUGCUUUUAUCUGGGAAGAAAAGGCCCAUGCGUGGGACAUUGCCGGUACCAGAUGAAUAAGCACCGGCUAACUCCGUGCCAGCAGCCGCGGUAAUACGGAGGGUGCAAGCGUUGUCCGGAUUUAUUGGGUUUAAAGGGUGCGUAGGCGGUUGAUUAAGUCAGCGGUGAAAGUUUUGGGCUCAACCCAGAAAUUGCCAUUGAUACUGGUCGACUUGAGUAUUGCAGGGGUACAUGGAAUUGAUGGUGUAGCGGUGAAAUGCAUAGAUACCAUCAGGAACACCGAUAGCGAAGGCAUUGUACUGGGCAACCACUGACGCUGAUGCACGAAAGCAUGGGGAGCGAACAGGAUUAGAUACCCUAGUAGUCC